GACGAACGCUGGCGGCGUGCCUAAUACAUGCAAGUAGAACGCUGAAGGAGGAGCUUGCUUCUCUGGAUGAGUUGCGAACGGGUGAGUAACGCGUAGGUAACCUGCCUGGUAGCGGGGGAUAACUAUUGGAAACGAUAGCUAAUACCGCAUAACAGUAGAUAUCGCAUGAUAUCUACUUGAAAGGUGCAAUUGCAUCACUACCAGAUGGACCUGCGUUGUAUUAGCUAGUUGGUGAGGUAACGGCUCACCAAGGCGACGAUACAUAGCCGGCCUGAGAGGGUGAUCGGCCACACUGGGACUGAGACACGGCCCAGACUCCUACGGGAGGCAGCAGUAGGGGAUCUUCGGCAAUGGACGGAAGUCUGAACGAGCAACGCCGCGUGAGUGAAGAAGGUUUUCGGAUCGUAAAGCUCUGUUGUAAGGGAAGAACGAGUGUGAGAGUGGAAAGUGCACACUGUGACGGUAUCUUACCAGAAAGGGACGGCUAACUACGUG
This 495-nucleotide ribosomal RNA is filed under the name uncultured bacterium. RNAcentral describes it as "partial 16S ribosomal RNA". It matches the Rfam family "Bacterial small subunit ribosomal RNA", at positions 28 to 507 of the family's 1533-position model. The record is from RNAcentral.